AGAUUCAUUAAUGUAGCAUUACAUCCAGUAUCUUCUUUGUAUAACAGCAAUAUAUCAGACCAGAGAUAUCAGACUGAGCCACGCCUGGAGGUACAAUGGAGGACUGAAAAGGUCUAAAUGAGUGUUUUGUUCAUUUGUGUCACUUAAGCGACAGAGUGCCAAAAAA
Molecule: long non-coding RNA, 166 nt
Organism: Amphimedon queenslandica
Lineage: Eukaryota; Metazoa; Porifera; Demospongiae; Haplosclerida; Niphatidae
Exons: 2
Source: RefSeq, a predicted model, not a curated record